Rosa rugosa (rugosa rose) is the source of this 590-nucleotide long non-coding RNA. RefSeq lists it as uncharacterized. The transcript is spliced from 4 exons. NCBI's taxonomy places the organism in Eukaryota, Viridiplantae, Streptophyta, Magnoliopsida, Rosales, Rosaceae. The record is from RefSeq and is a predicted model, not a curated record.
GGAUCGGCACUGGGAGAGCUUCCUCCAUUUUUCAUAUCAAGAGCUGCUCGUAUAGCAGGGAGUGAAUUGGAAGUAAUGAAAGAAUUGGAUUCUUCUUCAACUGAAGAUGGUGGAGUUGUAGCUUAUCACGUGAACCGGAUCAAACUAUGGCUAACUUUUUAACGAUAUUAGUUCUUGCUUCGGUACCCAACCCUCUAUUUGACCUUGCUGGUAUAAUGUGUGGACAAUUUGGCAUUCCAUUUUGGACAUUCUUUAUCUCAACAAUGAUUGGAAAGGUAUUUAUCAAGACUCACAUACAGAAAUAUGAUGCUGACCCAGCAGCAAAGGCAGCUGCUGCAACUGUCCUUGGCAUCCAAGUUGGGUGUGGAUUCAGGUCUAAGAUUCCAUGUAGGAGAUGAAUCUUUAGUGGCAAGUAUGAGAGAACUUUAGCAGCAAAUAUUUUUCUCUUGUGACGAUUUGAUUGUAUCAUCUUUUGCUAUCUUUCAAUGUAAUUAGCUAGAAUGCAGUAGCCAUCAAGCUAGCUGGAAUGCUUUCUAUUUUGGUUUUAUGGUAUGAAUGGAUACAUGAAUGCUACAUCUUUUGGUACAUUA